RNAcentral lists this ribosomal RNA (776 nucleotides) under uncultured archaeon. RNAcentral describes it as "bacterial SSU rRNA". It matches the Rfam family "Archaeal small subunit ribosomal RNA", at positions 104 to 868 of the family's 1478-position model. The record is from RNAcentral.
CUAACCUGCCCUUGGGAUCCGGAUAACCCUGGGAAACUGGGGCUAAUCCGGAGUAGGUAAGGGGCUCUGGAACGACUCCUUGCCUAAAGGCCCCUCGGCUGAUCCCGUCGGGGGGCGCCCAAGGAUGGGGCUGCGGCCCAUCAGGCUGUUGGCGGGGUAAAGGCCCGCCAAACCGAUAACGGGUAGGGGCCGUGGGAGCGGGAGCCCCCUGUUGGGCACUGAGACAAGGGCCCAGGCCCUACGGGGCGCACCAGGCGCGGGACGUCCCCAAUGCGGGAAACCGUGAGGGCGUUACCCCUAGUGCCCUCGCAAGAGGGCUUUUCCCCACUUUAGAACGGUGGGGGAAUAAGCGGGGGGCAAGACUGGUGUCAGCCGCCGCGGUAAUACCAGCCCCGCGAGUGAUCGAGACGUUUAUUGGGCUUAAAGCGCCCGUAGCCGGCCCGUAAAGUCACCGUUUAAAGACCCGAGCUCAACUCGGGGAGUGGCGGUGAUACUUACGGGCUAGGGGGCGGGAAAGGUCGGAGGUACUCCCGGAGUAGGGGCGAAAUCCUCAGAUCCCGGGAGGACCACCAGUGGCGAAAGCGUCCGGCUAGAACGCGCCCGACGGUGAGGGGCGAAAGCCGGGGUAGCAAAAGGGAUUAGAUACCCCUGUAGUCCCGGCUGUAACGAUGCGGGUUAGGUGUCGCGUGGGCUUUGAGCCCAUGCGGUGCCGCAGAAAACUGGUAAGCCCGCCGCCUGGGGAGUACGGCCGCAAGGCUGAAACUUAAAGGAAUUGG